AACGAACGCUGGCGGCAUGCCUAACACAUGCAAGUCGAACGAGACCUCCGGGUCCUGUGGCGCACGGGUGUGUAACGCGUGGGAACUUUCCCUCAGGGUUGGAAUAACUCUCCGAAAGGGGUGCUAAUACCGGACAAUGUCUUCUGACCAAAGAUAUAUCGCGCUUGGUUGGGCCCGCGUUGGAUUAGCUUGUUGGUAGGGUAAAAGCCUACUACGGCGACGAUCCAUAGCUGGUCUGAGAGGAUGGUCAGCGACACUGAGACUAGGACACGGCCCAGACUCUUACGGAAGGGAGGAGAGCGGGAUAUAGGACAAUGGGGGGAGGCAUGAACCUGCAAGGCCGGGAGAGUGAUGAAGGCCGUAGAGAUGUAAAGCUCUUUUACCCGGGAUGGUAAUGACGGUACCGAGAGAAUAAGCCCCGGCUAACUCCGUG
Molecule: ribosomal RNA, 433 nt
Filed under: uncultured bacterium
Lineage: Bacteria
Description: partial 16S ribosomal RNA
Rfam family: Bacterial small subunit ribosomal RNA
Source: RNAcentral